Molecule: transfer RNA, 74 nt
Filed under: Acidobacteriota bacterium
Lineage: Bacteria; Pseudomonadati; Acidobacteriota
Description: tRNA-Gln
Rfam family: tRNA
About the family: Transfer RNA (tRNA) molecules are approximately 80 nucleotides in length. Their secondary structure includes four short double-helical elements and three loops (D, anti-codon, and T loops).
Source: RNAcentral
UGGGAGGUCGUUCAAUGGUAGGACAUGCGGCUCUGACCCGCAGAAUCGGGGUUCGAAUCCCUGCCUCCCAGCCA